Molecule: ribosomal RNA, 1477 nt
Filed under: Raphidiopsis mediterranea FCC LP 2014
Lineage: Bacteria; Bacillati; Cyanobacteriota; Cyanophyceae; Nostocales; Aphanizomenonaceae
Description: bacterial SSU rRNA
Rfam family: Bacterial small subunit ribosomal RNA
Source: RNAcentral
AGUUUGAUCCUGGCUCAGGAUGAACGCUGGCGGUAUGCUUAACACAUGCAAGUCGAACGGGAUGCUUAGGCAUCUAGUGGCGGACGGGUGAGUAACGCGUGAGAAUCUGGCUCCAGGUCGGGGACAACAGUUGGAAACGACUGCUAAUACCGGAUGUGCCGAGAGGUGAAAGAUUUAUCGCCUGGAGAUGAGCUCGCGUCUGAUUAGCUAGUUGGUGGUGUAAGGGACUACCAAGGCGUCGAUCAGUAGCUGGUCUGAGAGGAUGAUCAGCCACACUGGGACUGAGACACGGCCCAGACUCCUACGGGAGGCAGCAGUGGGGAAUUUUCCGCAAUGGGCGAAAGCCUGACGGAGCAAUACCGCGUGAGGGAGGAAGGCUCUUGGGUCGUAAACCUCUUUUCUCAAGGAAGAAGAAAGUGACGGUACUUGAGGAAUAAGCAUCGGCUAACUCCGUGCCAGCAGCCGCGGUAAUACGGAGGAUGCAAGCGUUAUCCGGAAUGAUUGGGCGUAAAGGGUCUGCAGGUGGAACUGAAAGUCUGCUGUUAAAGAGUUUGGCUUAACCAAAUAAAAGCGGUGGAAACUACAGAACUAGAGUGCGGUAGGGGCAAAAGGAAUUCCUGGUGUAGCGGUGAAAUGCGUAGAUAUCAGGAAGAACACCGGUGGCGAAAGCGUUUUGCUAGACCGUAACUGACACUGAGGGACGAAAGCUAGGGGAGCGAAUGGGAUUAGAUACCCCAGUAGUCCUAGCCGUAAACGAUGGAUACUAGGCGUGGCUUGUAUCGACCCGAGCCGUGCCGGAGCUAACGCGUUAAGUAUCCCGCCUGGGGAGUACGCACGCAAGUGUGAAACUCAAAGGAAUUGACGGGGGCCCGCACAAGCGGUGGAGUAUGUGGUUUAAUUCGAUGCAACGCGAAGAACCUUACCAAGACUUGACAUCCUGCGAAUCCCAGUGAAAGCUGGGAGUGCCUUAGGGAGCGCAGAGACAGGUGGUGCAUGGCUGUCGUCAGCUCGUGUCGUGAGAUGUUGGGUUAAGUCCCGCAACGAGCGCAACCCUCGUUUUUAGUUGCCAGCAUUAAGUUGGGCACUCUAGAGAGACUGCCGGUGACAAACCGGAGGAAGGUGAGGAUGACGUCAAGUCAGCAUGCCCCUUACGUCUUGGGCUACACACGUACUACAAUGCUACGGACAGAGGGCAGCGAGCCAGGGAUGGCAAGCGAAUCCAGAAACCGUAGCUCAGUUCAGAUCGAAGGCUGCAACUCGCCUUCGUGAAGGAGGAAUCGCUAGUAAUUGCAGGUCAGCAUACUGCAGUGAAUUCGUUCCCGGGCCUUGUACACACCGCCCGUCACACCAUGGAAGUUGGUCACGCCCGAAGUCAUUACCCCAACCGAAAGGAGGGGGAUGCCUAAGGUAGGACUGGUGACUGGGGUGAAGUCGUAACAAGGUAGCCGUACCGGAAGGUGUGGCUGGAUCACCUCCU